UCUUGUGAUGAUAACUGUCCAGUUCUGCUACUGAAGGGAAAGCGAUGUAAACCUACAGAGCUGAGGAGG
Molecule: small nucleolar RNA, 69 nt
Organism: Suncus etruscus (white-toothed pygmy shrew)
Lineage: Eukaryota; Metazoa; Chordata; Mammalia; Eulipotyphla; Soricidae
Source: RefSeq, a predicted model, not a curated record